RNAcentral lists this ribosomal RNA (253 nucleotides) under uncultured bacterium. RNAcentral's name for it is "partial 16S ribosomal RNA". It matches the Rfam family "Bacterial small subunit ribosomal RNA", at positions 524 to 776 of the family's 1533-position model. The record is from RNAcentral.
UACAGAGGUCUCGAGCGUUGUUCGGAUUCAUUGGGCGUAAAGGGUGCGUAGGUGGUCUGGUAAGUCGGAUGUGAAAUCCCGGAGCUUAACUUCGGAACUGCAUUCGAUACUGCCGGACUGGAGUACUGGAGAGGAGAUCGGAAUUUACGGUGUAGCAGUGAAAUGCGUAGAUAUCAGGAGGAACACCGGUGGCGAAGGCGGGUCUCUGGGCCGAUACUGACGCUGAGGAGCGAAAGCGUGGGGAGCGAACAGG